UCGAACGUCCCUAACCACAGCCGAGCGCCGUUCCUCGACGGAUCACGAAUCUCCGCCGCAAAUUUCCCCCAUGGACGCCGCCGUAUCCCUCGAGAACUGCAGCUGGGGAAAGAUUUAGAUUUCAAAAUUGGAGAACCGCCAACGAGAUUUCUUCAUUGUGGUCACUAACAAUAGCGCAGCCUGCCGAUCCAUCUCAUCAAUGAUCACAACUGCAUCAGAAUUCACCUCAAAUCAGAGAGGACUGAUGGGCACUCGAUGUAAGCCUGUGAGUUGGAGACAUGGUGGAUUCUCAGUCCAUUGCUUCCACCAGAUCAACUGCCCAUCCAACUAAAGACCUUCGCCUAUGCCAAAUAUCAGAGAGGCAGUGAGGGGAAAAUACUCUUUAUAGACCCAACAGUUAAGCGUCUCGCAAGCCUAGCCCAUAGGCAGCUGAGGCACCUCUCAAUGACUCACCUCCCACAAUCUAUUCUGGCUCUAUGAUAUACUUUGAUCCGUGGGUCGAUUUGAUCUUAAGAAGUAAAGACACAAGCUCAAUCCAAGUCCAAACCCGUUGGCUUAAAACACUUUCUAAGCCUCGAUGGGUCGACUCAAUCUUCAAAAGUCAAGCCCAUGACCCAAUUCUUAGACUUGAUUCAUUAAGUUUGAGUCGAGGUUGGGUUAGUCGAUUGGACCAGCCCUUUGAAUAUUAAUUAUCCUUUUACCAUGUAUUAAAAUUUAUUAAAUUUCUUCCUUAGUGUAUUGUAAAGUUCAAAUCUUAUGGUUCAAGAGCUACCAAGUUAAUUGAAGUGAUUAAA
Cucurbita maxima (winter squash) is the source of this 794-nucleotide long non-coding RNA. RefSeq lists it as uncharacterized. The transcript has 3 exons. NCBI's taxonomy places the organism in Eukaryota, Viridiplantae, Streptophyta, Magnoliopsida, Cucurbitales, Cucurbitaceae. The record is from RefSeq and is a predicted model, not a curated record.